Molecule: ribosomal RNA, 884 nt
Filed under: uncultured archaeon
Lineage: Archaea
Description: bacterial SSU rRNA
Rfam family: Archaeal small subunit ribosomal RNA
Source: RNAcentral
UAAAGCAUCCGUAGCCGGUUGUUUAAGUUUUCGGUUAAAUCUAUGCGCUUAACGUAUAGGCUGCCGAAAAUACUGGACAGCUAGGGAGUGGGAGAGGUACACGGUACUCGAUAGGAAGGGGUAAAAUCCUUUGAUCUAUUGAUGACCACCUGUGGCGAGGCGGUGUACCAGAACACGUUCGACGGUGAGGGAUGAAAGCUGGGGGAGCAAACCGGAUUAGAUACCCGGGUAGUCCCAGCUGUAAACGAUGCAGACUCGGUGAUGCAUUGGCUUGUGGCCAAUGCAGUGCCGCAGGGAAGCCGUUAAGUCUGCCGCCUGGGAAGUACGUACGCAAGUAUGAAACUUAAAGGAAUUGGCGGGGGAGCACCACAAGGGGUGAAGCCUGCGGUUCAAUUGGAGUCAACGCCAGAAAUCUUACCCGGGGCGACAGCAGAAUGAAGGUCAAGCUGAAGACUUUACCAGACAAGCUGAGAGGUGGUGCAUGGCCGUCGCCAGCUCGUGCCGUGAGAUGUCCUGUUAAGUCAGGUAACGAGCGAGACCCCUGCGUCUAGUUGCUACCAUUCCUCUCUGGAGUAGUGGAGCGAAUUAGACGGACCGCCACAGUUAAUGUGGAGGAAGGAAGGGGCCACGGCAGGUCAGUAUGCCCCGAAACCCUGGGGCCACACGCGGGCUGCAAUGGUAUUGACAAUGUGUUCCGAACCCGAAAGGGGGAGGCAAUCAUCAAACGAUACCUCAGUUAUGACUGAGGGCUGCAACUCGCCCUCACGAAUAUGGAAUCCCUAGUAACUGCGCGUCAUUACCGCGCGGUGAAUACGUCCCUGCUCCUUGCACACACCGCCGGUCGUUUCAUCGAAGUUGGCCUUUAGUGAGGUAGUGUCUAAUAG